RNAcentral lists this ribosomal RNA (667 nucleotides) under Salmonella enterica subsp. enterica serovar Muenchen. RNAcentral describes it as "partial 23S ribosomal RNA". It matches the Rfam family "Bacterial large subunit ribosomal RNA", at positions 1 to 701 of the family's 2925-position model. Lineage: Bacteria; Pseudomonadati; Pseudomonadota; Gammaproteobacteria; Enterobacterales; Enterobacteriaceae. The record is from RNAcentral. RNAcentral also lists the same sequence under 1 other name.
GGGUUGUGAGGUUAAGCGACUAAGCGUACACGGUGGAUGCCCUGGCAGUCAGAGGCGAUGAAGGGCGUGCUAAUCUGCGAUAAGCGCCGGUAAGGUGAUAUGAACCGUUAUAACCGGCGAUACCCGAAUGGGGAAACCCAGUGUGAUUCGUCACACUAUCAUUAACUGAAUCCAUAGGUUAAUGAGGCGAACCGGGGGAACUGAAACAUCUAAGUACCCCGAGGAAAAGAAAUCAACCGAGAUUCCCCCAGUAGCGGCGAGCGAACGGGGAGGAGCCCAGAGCCUGAAUCAGCAUGUGUGUUAGUGGAAGCGUCUGGAAAGGCGCGCGAUACAGGGUGACAGCCCCGUACACAAAAGCGUAUGUGCUGUGAGCUCGAUGAGUAGGGCGGGACACGUGGUAUCCUGUCUGAAUAUGGGGGGACCAUCCUCCAAGGCUAAAUACUCCUGACUGACCGAUAGUGAACCAGUACCGUGAGGGAAAGGCGAAAAGAACCCCGGCGAGGGGAGUGAAAAAGAACCUGAAACCGUGUACGUACAAGCAGUGGGAGCACCCUUUGGGGUGUGACUGCGUACCUUUUGUAUAAUGGGUCAGCGACUUAUAUUCUGUAGCAAGGUUAACCGAAUAGGGGAGCCGGAGGGAAACCGAGUCUUAAUUGGGCGUUAAGUU